RNAcentral lists this ribosomal RNA (869 nucleotides) under uncultured archaeon. RNAcentral's name for it is "bacterial SSU rRNA". It matches the Rfam family "Archaeal small subunit ribosomal RNA", at positions 21 to 889 of the family's 1478-position model. The record is from RNAcentral.
AGGCCAUUGCUAUUGGAGUCCGAUUUAGCCAUGCUAGUUGUACGAGUUCAGACUCGUAGCAGAUAGCUCAGUAACACGUGGCCAAACUACCCUCUGGAGCGCGACAACCUCGGGAAACUGAGGCUAAUCGCGCAUACCGCUCUCAGGCUGGAACUGCCGAGAGCGCGAAAUGCCCCGGCGCCAGAGGAUGUGGCUGCGGCCGAUUAGGUAGACGGUGGGGUAACGGCCCACCGUGCCAGUAAUCGGUACGGGUUGUGAGAGCAAGAGCCCGGAGACGGUAUCUGAGACAAGAUACCGGGCCCUACGGGGCGCAGCAGGCGCGAAACCUUUACACUGCACGCCAGUGCGAUAAGGGGACUCCAAGUGCGAGGGCAUAGAGCCCUCGCUUUUCUGUACCGUAAGGUGGUACAAGAAUAAGUGCUGGGCAAGACCGGUGCCAGCCGCCGCGGUAAUACCGGCAGCACGAGUGAUGGCCGCUCUUAUUGGGCCUAAAGCGUCCGUAGCUGGCCGCGCAAGUCCAUCGGGAAAUCCGCACGCCUAACGUGCGGGCGUCCCGGUGGAAACUGCGUGGCUUGGGACCGGAAGAUCCAGAGGGUACGUCUGGGGUAGGAGUGAAAUCCUGUAAUCCUGGACGGACCGCCGGUGGCGAAAGCGCCUCUGGAGGACGGAUCCGACGGUGAGGGACGAAAGCUAGGGUCACGAACCGGAUUAGAUACCCGGGUAGUCCUAGCCGUAAACGAUGUCUGCUAGGUGUGCCACAGGCUACGAGCCUGUGGUGUGCCGUAGGGAAGCCGUGAAGCAGACCGCCUGGGAAGUACGUCCGCAAGGAUGAAACUUAAAGGAAUUGGCGGGGGAGCACAAGGGCGAAU